GGAAGUAUAAGUCGUAACAAGGUCUUCGUAGGUGAACCUGCGGAGGGAUCAUUCCCACUUUAGGGGUGAGCGCUUCUUCGGAGGCCUCGCUCUCUUCCAAACACACGUGAACUGUUUAAACCGGGUGGUUGCGCUCUUUACAUGUUACAUGUAAAGAGCGCAACAACCUUCCAAAACCUUUGUCUCAACAACUCAAACAAAAAAUAACCAAAGCAAACAACUCCAAACGGUGGAUGCCUUGGUUCCC
This 247-nucleotide unclassified non-coding RNA is filed under the name plant metagenome. RNAcentral's name for it is "partial contains small subunit ribosomal RNA and internal transcribed spacer 1". The stretch from base 1 to 54 matches the Rfam family "Eukaryotic small subunit ribosomal RNA", at positions 1778 to 1831 of the family's 1831-position model. The record is from RNAcentral.